This 1746-nucleotide long non-coding RNA is filed under the name Bos taurus (domestic cattle). RNAcentral's name for it is "long non-coding RNA NONBTAT024978". The record is from RNAcentral. Lineage: Eukaryota; Metazoa; Chordata; Mammalia; Artiodactyla; Bovidae.
UUUUGGAGGAAAGAGAAAGCAUAGCUUUAUUUCUUUGCCAGGCAGAGGGCAUGCAGCAGGCUAAUGCCUCAGAUAGUUUCCCCUUCCCUGGGGAAAAGGGAGAGGUCUUAUAGUCUAGGCUUUGCUCACGGGUAUGUGAUACGGUUCAAGGCAGUGACAAUCUUGCAUUCUCUUUUCUGCAAAGUUUUAAAAUGGCCAUAACAUUUGAGUCUGGUCGUCAAAGAGGUUAUUGGCUGGUAACCUUUUUGAAAUAAAGAAUGCCAAGGGAGUUACAAGGGUGUGUAGGGGAAAAGAAUGCCAGGUGCAGGAUAGAAUUCACAGAUAGUCAGAGAGUGAUUAAGGAAUUAAAUUUGUGAAGGAAGUCUAGUUGUGUGCACUAGAAACGGCUAGAGUAAAACUAGAAUCGCUGGACUAUUCCAGGCCUAUUCUUGGGGGUUUUAUAGCCGUUUACUCAUUCCUUCACUUCCCUUGGUUGUUAGCAGUAAAAAAAACCCCACUUUUCCAUUUCUGUUUAACAAAUUCCCCAGUGCUAGUUCAUUUCUUCCAUUUUGGUGGAUGAAGGGAAUCAGGCAUUGUUCUCAUCUGGCUGAGGAUAAAAUUUCAGUGUCAUUCCACUUGACGAACAUCAGCUGUUUGGCCCAGGAGCCCAUGUAUCUCCUACUUCAAAAGUAGUCAUGCUCAUCUCAAAAAUCUUUAAAAUACAAAGCAACAGCCCAACCUCAUUCAUUCACUAACUGCUUAUUGAGGGCACUAACUUUGCGCUGACGUUAUCUGCUCUAUGUCUGACACCCUGUUCUUCACUGAGGAUAUAUACAAUGAGAAACAAGACAGGGUUUCUGCCUUCAAGGAACAGGGGCAGGCAGAAAAAAAUCAAGUAAAUAAGAUCUCACAGGUGGUAAGAGGUACGGAGGCAGAAAACAGUGGUUCCAUGAACAGUGACAGGAGACUUCUUUGGAUGAACCAGUUAGGCAGGGAGCAAAGAUCCGAAGGGCAACCAAGCGAAGAUUAAGGAUAAGUACAGCUGAGCAAGAGCAAUGGCCUCUCCAUUGGGCAACCACUUCCCAGGGAUUGCUGCAGUUUGGGUUUUUAUGCUAACAGACCAUUUUCUAGCACACAAACAUUCAUGCGAUUUUAUUCCUUUCUUCCCUCUACUUCUUUUGUUUUUGUUUUUCAAACAAAACAUCCCUCUGUAUUCCAAGGCUGCUCUGUUGAUUUUAUUCAGAACUGCCUCACCCUCAUUGGUCUCAGGCCUGGGAGGAAAUACAAAGUUCAGAGUCACAGACCUUGGCCGGCAAGGGAGAGCUUGGCUCAGGUAAGUUUUUCAGCAGAGAAGGGAGCCUUGAGAUCUGUCUCUCAUCUACUGAAUUAGUGUUUAACCUGAUGGUCUCUAAAGACUUCUUUGAUAUUCUGGCCACUGUGUCUGUCAUUACAAAAACUCCAUGUGGUGGGGAUGGCCAUUUGUCCCUAUAUCCAUCUCUCCAUCUUCCUUAGUAAUUGAAUCUCCAAGUUUUAGCUGAGCACAGGGCUGCCCCACCAGACUCUUUUCCAGCCUUUCUUAUACAACUAGGUGUAGCCAUGGGACUAAGUUCAGACAAGGGCCAAUGACGUGUGAAACGUUCGGGUUGUGCCCUUGUGAAGGUGUCAUGCCCUCUACUUGCUCAUCUCCUCUUUCUGCUGACUGAAAGAGGGCUUGAUGGUUGGAAAUGGAUCCACCAACUGUGAUCAUGAGAUGGAAGCCAAGAUGUG